GACGAACGCUGGCGGCGUGCUUAACACAUGCAAGUCGAGCGGUAAGGCCCUUUCGGGGGUACACGAGCGGCGAACGGGUGAGUAACACGUGGGUGACCUGCCCUCAGCUCUGGGAUAAGCCUGGGAAACCGGGUCUAAUACUGGAUAUGACUCCAUGGCGCAUGUUGUGGGGUGGAAAGCCUUGUGCGGCUGAGGAUGGGCCCGCGGCCUAUCAGCUUGUUGGUGGGGUGANGGCCUACCAAGGCGACGACGGGUAGCCGGCCUGAGAGGGCGACCGGCCACACUGGGACUGAGACACGGCCCAGACUCCUACGGGAGGCAGCAGUGGGGAAUCUUGCGCAAUGGGCGAAAGCCUGACGCAGCGACGCCGCGUGAGGGAUGACGGCC
This 387-nucleotide ribosomal RNA is filed under the name uncultured bacterium. Its description in RNAcentral is "bacterial SSU rRNA". It matches the Rfam family "Bacterial small subunit ribosomal RNA", at positions 28 to 416 of the family's 1533-position model. The record is from RNAcentral.